AUCACUUCUCGGCUGUCUGAGCUUAAUUCAUGUGUAGCAUCUGUUCUUUGAGUGCUACUUCCGCAACAGUCCCUGAUUUGAGGUUGAUAAAUUUACAUAUGCUUGCGAACUGCGACGUGUAAUGUAAGCUUGCUUAACCCCGUCCACGAAUCGGCCUUGUAUUGCACUGGCUUGACUAUCGGCUCAUUGAUG
Molecule: small nuclear RNA, 192 nt
Filed under: Taenia asiatica
Lineage: Eukaryota; Metazoa; Platyhelminthes; Cestoda; Cyclophyllidea; Taeniidae
Description: U2 spliceosomal RNA
Rfam family: U2 spliceosomal RNA
About the family: U2 is a small nuclear RNA (snRNA) component of the spliceosome (involved in pre-mRNA splicing). Complementary binding between U2 snRNA (in an area lying towards the 5' end but 3' to hairpin I) and the branchpoint sequence (BPS) of the intron results the bulging out of an unpaired adenosine, on the BPS, which initiates a nucleophilic attack at the intronic 5' splice site, thus starting the first of two transesterification reactions that mediate splicing.
Source: Rfam by way of RNAcentral